Long non-coding RNA from Heterocephalus glaber (naked mole-rat), 4083 nucleotides. The record is from Ensembl. Lineage: Eukaryota; Metazoa; Chordata; Mammalia; Rodentia; Bathyergidae.
GUAGGGAACUGGCUAACAGAGAAUGAGAAAGUAGAGUAUCCGCACAGUUCUGUCAUUUUGAGAUGAACCAGAUGCCUUCUCUUACAUCGAUCCUCUGACUCCUCCAUGCCAGAUUAUCUGAAUCACCAGGAAGACAACCUUAUUAACUAUUCUUCAGCAAUGUAAUCAAUAAAUUUCUAUUGUAUUUGUCAUUGUGUUUACUUUAUGGAUACCGUGAUUCUAACAAAAAUUUCUUUAGGAUAUGAUAGAUUAUUUUAAGCUUAUAACACUCGGAUCACACACAAACUUAAAACUGCACAUGAACUCCAUUAUGCCCAUUUUGAUUUUUUGGUGGUACAAUUGACAUCGUUUUAUACCGUCUAUCCUUUAGCAAAUUAUUGUGGUUGAUAUUUUUAAUAGUUUUGUCAUUUGUGCUUCAAAAUAAAUGCAUAAUUUAUACAUCUCCAUUACAGUGUUAGAGCAUUUUGUUUUGUUUUGUUUUUUUGGUACCGGGGAUCGAACUCAGGACCUUGCACUUAAGAGGCAGGUGCCAGAACCACUGAGCUAAAUCCCUGGCCCAUGUUAGGGUAUUUUAAUUUGAAUGUGCUCUUACUUUUACCGGUGACUUCUUAUGCGUUCAGAUACUGUUAUGUUACUCAUUAGCAUGCUUUCUUUUGAUAUGAAGAACUCCAUUUAGCAAUUUUUGUAAGGCAGAUCUGGUGAUGAAAUCCCUUAGGUUUUGGUUAUUAGGAAUUCUCUUUAUUUUCUUAUUUUUGAAGAACACUUUGCUAGUUAUAACAUUCUUGGUCACCAGUUAUUUUCCUUUAACUCUUUAAAUAUACACUCUCACUCUAAUCUGGCCUCUAAGAUUCUGCUGGGAAAUCUGCUGGUAGCCAUAUUGAAAUUUCCUUGUGUGCUAUUACCUCUCUCUGUGUUCAUGGUGCUUCCUUUGCCUCUGAACACUGAUAGCUUUAGUAUAAUAUACCCUGAGGUAAUCUUGUCUAAACUGCAUCUGAUUGGAGACUUUCGACCUUUCUUAGCUGGAUAUUUGUAUCUUUCUCCAAGUUGGAAAAGUUUUAUGCUAUAAUUUCUUUAAAUUUUAUACUUCUUUAUCAUUCUCUCCUUAAUCUUGAAAUUCUAUGACUUGAAUAUUUGCUAGUUUAAUGCUGUUCCAUAAAUUCCAUAAGCUUUCUUUAUUAUUUGACGUUUUUUCUCUCACUGCAUAUAUGCCAAUAACUUCUCUUCAGGGUCACAGAUACUUUCAUCUGCUGUUGAUGCUCUUUUGCAUUUUUCACUUCACUUAUGGUAUUAUUUUUGUUUCUCUGUUAAACAUCCUGCUCUGGUAAUUUAUUGUUUGUGUCAUUUGGUUGAAUGGAUUUUUCUAUAUUUUGUUCAAAUUUGCUGGCUUCCUUACAAUAGUAAUAUUGAAUUCUUUGUUACACUGUCCUAAGUCUUCACUUCCUUAGGGUUAGGCACUUUAGUUUGCUUUCUUCAUGAUGUUCUGUUCCCCCAAUUGUUCUUGAUAUCUGUGGUUGUGGAUUGGUACAUGUGUGUCUGAAGAGCUAUAUAGUCCUUCUAGUCUUCACGUAGUGGCGUUUUCUGGGGAACUCCUUCAGAAGUCAGCCCCCUCAGAGAUUCUAGGUAGCCUGCCUAGUACAGAGUGUGUAAAUUUCAAAGUUUAAUGUAUUAUAUGUAGGUCUUUCAUUCACUUUUAAUUGAUUUUUAUACAGUGUGAGAGAUAAGGAUCUACUUUUAACUUUCUACAUAUGAAUACCCAGUUUUCCUAACCCCAUUUAUUAAAGAGGGUGUCCUCUCUAUAGUGUGUUUCUGUCUCUUGUCAUGAACUAGAUGGCAGUCUGUUGGAUGUUUCUCUUUGCCUGUGUCCUCUGUUCCAUUCCGUCUGUCCACACAGCCAUUUUACAUCAGUAUGAUACCAUUUUUCUCACUAUGGUUUUGUAGUAUAUUUUGAAAUCAGGAAUUGUGAUGAGUCCAUCAGUGUUCCUUUUCCUCAGGAUUGCCUUGGCUAUUCUAAGUCUUUCGUGCCUCCAGGAAAAUUUUUAGGAUUGUUUUUCUUCUGUCAAGUAUGUCCUCAAAUAUAUUGAUGAAUAUUUUAUUGAAUGUGUGCAUCACUUUCAGUAAUAUAGUCAUUUUAACAAUCUUAACUCUACCAAUCCAUGAGCAUGGAAAGUCUUUCCAUCUAGCACUGUCAUCAGUUUCCUUCUUUAAUGUUUUGUAAUUGUCAUCAAAGAGGUCUAGCACUUCCCUGUCACAUUUAUUCCUAAGUUUUUUUGGUACUGGGGACCGAACUAGUGUCCUUGUGCUUGCAAGGCAGCCACCGUAACCACUGAGCUAAAUCCCUGGCCCCCUAAGCUAUUUUUAAUGGAAUUGUUUUCUUGAUUUCUUUCUAACCAAGAUCAUUAUUGGUAUAGAGAAAACCUAUUGGUUUUGUAUAUGGGUUUUGUAUCUGUCACUUUGCUGAAUUUAACAGUCCUAAAACUCCCUCUUUUCUUAGUUUGGAUGAGAUCUUAACAAUAGUAUUUAUCUUUUUAAAAGAUGUACUCUUUGAUUCCUUCUAUUGUUCUGUUAGUCUCCAUGUUACUAAUUUAAGCUCCAAUCUCAAUUUUUUCUUUCUUUCCAUCACUUUUGGGUUUUAUUCUUGUUUUUCUAAGAUUUUAAGAUGAAUCAUUUGGUUACAUUUUUUAAUCCAGGGAUAUAUAGCUAUAAACUUUGCUCUUGGAGUGGCCUUUUCUGCAUCCCAGAUUCUGGUAUGCUAUGGCAUUUCAUUCUAUCUUAUUAAAAUUUCCCACUGAUUAUCUCAAUGAGCCACUGGUAACUCAAAAGUAUAUUAUUCUAUCUUAAUGUGUUUGUGUAGUUUCUGUGGUUUCUCUUCUUUACAGUCAGUUUCAUCCCAUUGUGAUUGCAUAGGAUGAACAUCACUUCUCUUUAAAAUAUAGUCUAUUUUAGAGAAAUUCAGUGAGCUGCUGAAACAUAUGCGUAUUCCACUGUUGUUAAUGACAUCUUCUGUAGAUGUCAGCUAUGCUUGUUUCAUCAAUAGUGUAGGUUAAGUCUGAUAUUUCAUUGUUAAUCUUUUGUAUCCUACUUUUACAUAUUGACCUAUUUGUAAAAGUAGGAUAUUAAAGUAACGGACUAUUAUUGUAUUGGUAUUUAUCUGCUUCUUUAAGUUUGUUUCAUGAAAUUUCUGUGCACCAAUAUUUGGGGCAUAUAUGUUUGCUAUUGCUAUAUCUUCUUGAUGAAUUGUUCCCUUUGCUGAUAUGUAAGAACUUUUGUCCCAUCUGACUACUUUUGACUUGAUAUCUGCAUUGUUCAAUAUAACUGUGUUAGUCCUGCUUCCUUCCAGAUUCUAUUUGCAUGGAAUAUUAUCUUCAACCCUCUACUUUCAGGCUAUGUACAUCUUUGCAAGUGAUGUGUGCUUCUUGCAGGCAACACACAGUUGAGUCUUACUUUUUAUUCAAUCUACCAAUAUGUUUCUUUUAAUUAAACAAUUAAUAGAAUUCAUAUUGAGAGAUAUAUUUUAAAAGUAUGUAUUUAUUCCUGCCAUUUCCUCAUUUUUACAAUGCUUUAUUCACUUCUAAUACUCAUUGCUUAGUCUACUUUUCUUCUCUGUGCAGUGGUGCUUAAAGUAUCUUUUGAAGUGCUUGCUUAGUAGUCACAAAUUCUUGUAAUUUCUUCUUAUUUUGGAAGAUCUUUAAUUUUCCUUCAAUUCUGAAUGAUAAGUUUGCUGGGUAGUUAUUUUUUCUGUGCUUGAAAAAGUUCAGGUACAAACACCCAAUGAUAAAUGUAAAUGUAUCGUAUGCCUAAAAUAUACCAAUUAAUAUAUAAAUUUUUAAAAAUGAAAAAAUAAAGAAAUAAAAAAAGAAAAACAUUACUUAUUUCUCCCUGGCCUUUAGACUCUCUGCUGAAAAAUCUCUAGUAAUUUCUAUGUGUUUGCAUUUGUAAGUGGCUUGGUAUUCAUAAGUGUGAGGAACAGCCUACAAAUAUGUGGCACUUACUGUGUACCAAAGUGAUUUAAUUUCCAAAUCAUUUAUGUCAUGUAUCUCUCAAAUGAUUCCUAUAAAGUAGAUACUUUUCAUAUACCUUUUAUAG